Molecule: ribosomal RNA, 626 nt
Filed under: Legionella pneumophila
Lineage: Bacteria; Pseudomonadati; Pseudomonadota; Gammaproteobacteria; Legionellales; Legionellaceae
Also listed under: 1 other name
Description: partial 23S ribosomal RNA
Rfam family: Bacterial large subunit ribosomal RNA
Source: RNAcentral
AGUGUGCUGGAGGUAUCAGAAGUGCGAAUGCUGACAUGAGUAACGAUAAUGUGGGUGAAAAGCCCACACGCCGGAAGUCCCAGGUUUCCUGCACGACGUUAAUCGGAGCAGGGUGAGUCGGCCCCUAAGGCGAGGCUGAAGAGCGUAGUCGAUGGGAACCAGGUUAAUAUUCCUGGACUUUUUAUAAGUGGUGAAGUGGGGACGAAGAAGGCUAGGUGAGCCAGGCGUUGGUUGUCCUGGUACUUGCAUGUAGGGGGGAAGACUUGGCAAAUCCGGUUUUCCAUAACUCUGAGGUGCGAAGUGGUUCUGACCUUUUGGUACAGAGAAGUCAUUGAUGCCCGGCUUCCAGGAAAAGCUGCUAGCCAUAACUUAUAGAGAACCGUACCGCAAACCGACACAGGUGGACAGGUAGAGAAUACUAAGGCGCUUGAGAGAACUCGGGUGAAGGAACUAGGCAAAAUGGUACCGUAACUUCGGGAGAAGGUACGCCCUUUCUGGUGAUGGGAUUUACUUUCAGAGCUGGAGAGGGCCGCAGAGACCAGGUGGCUGCGACUGUUUAUUAAAAACACAGCACUCUGCAAAUUCGUAAGAAGACGUAUAGGGUGUGACGCCUGCCCGGUGCCGGA